Molecule: ribosomal RNA, 532 nt
Filed under: uncultured bacterium
Lineage: Bacteria
Description: bacterial SSU rRNA
Rfam family: Bacterial small subunit ribosomal RNA
Source: RNAcentral
AAUAGAUACCCGGGUAGUCCAUGCCGUAAACGUUGGGCACUAGGUGUGGGGCUCAUUCCACGAGUUCCGUGCCGCAGCAAACGCAUUAAGUGCCCCGCCUGGGGAGUACGGCCGCAAGGCUAAAACUCAAAGGAAUUAACGGGGGCCCGCACAAGCGGCGGAGCAUGCGGAUUAAUUCGAUGCAACGCGAAGAACCUUACCAAGGCUUGACAUGCACGGGAAGCCACCAGAGAUGGUGGUCUCUUUGGACACUCGUGCACAGGUGGUGCAUGGUUGUCGUCAGCUCGUGUCGUGAGAUGUUGGGUUAAGUCCCGCAACGAGCGCAACCCUCGUCCCAUGUUGCCAGCGGGUUAUGCCGGGGACUCAUGGGAGACUGCCGGGGUCAACUCGGAGAAGGUGGGGAUGACGUCAAAUCAUCAUGCCCCUUAUGUCUUGGGCUUCACGCAUGCUACAAUGGCCGGUACAAAGGGCUGCGAUACCGUAAGGUGGAGCGAAUCCCGAAAAAGCCGGUCUCAGUUCGGAUUGGGGUCUG